This is a long non-coding RNA of Gopherus evgoodei (Goodes thornscrub tortoise), 190 nucleotides long. RefSeq lists it as uncharacterized. The record is from RefSeq and is a predicted model, not a curated record. The transcript is spliced from 3 exons. NCBI's taxonomy places the organism in Eukaryota, Metazoa, Chordata, Testudines, Testudinidae.
ACCCCUCAAUCGAGUCCUUCUUGGGGUUCAGGAAGCUUAGGAUUCCCUGAAUUCCCACCACCCAGCCCAAAACCGAAACUCAAACUAACCCCCUCCAUCCGGCCCCUUCCUUCGUCUAGCUUCCCGGGCAAAAGUGUUGAUCUCCCCUCCCCCCCACCUAGCUCAGGUUACAGGCUCAGGUAUUGUCCAU